This 224-nucleotide ribosomal RNA is filed under the name uncultured bacterium. Its description in RNAcentral is "partial 16S ribosomal RNA". It matches the Rfam family "Bacterial small subunit ribosomal RNA", at positions 1278 to 1500 of the family's 1533-position model. The record is from RNAcentral.
AAACCCCGUCUCAGUUCGGAUUGGAGUCUGCAACUCGACUCCAUGAAGCUGGAUUCGCUAGUAAUCGCGGAUCAGCAUGCCGCGGUGAAUACGUUCCCAGGCCUUGUACACACCGCCCGUCACACCAUGAGAGCCGGGAACACCCGAAGUCCGUAGUCUAACCAUUAAGGAGGACGCGGCCGAAGGUGGGUUUGGUAAUUGGGGUGAAGUCGUAACAAGGUACC